CAUGUAGGCGGCAUGACAAGUCUGGUGUGAAAUAUCUCGGCUCAACCGAGAAAACGCACUGGAAACUGUCAAGCUUGAGUAUCGGAGGGGAAGCUAGAAUUCCUGGUGUAGGGGUGAAAUCUGUAGAUAUCAGGAAGAAUACCGGUGGCGAGGGCGAGCUUCUGGCCAGAUACUGACGCUGAGAUGCGAAAGCGUGGGGAGCGAACAGGAUUAGAUACCCUGGUAGUCC
This 229-nucleotide ribosomal RNA is filed under the name uncultured bacterium. Its description in RNAcentral is "partial 16S ribosomal RNA". It matches the Rfam family "Bacterial small subunit ribosomal RNA", at positions 568 to 796 of the family's 1533-position model. The record is from RNAcentral.